RNAcentral lists this ribosomal RNA (421 nucleotides) under uncultured bacterium. Its description in RNAcentral is "partial 16S ribosomal RNA". It matches the Rfam family "Bacterial small subunit ribosomal RNA", at positions 360 to 773 of the family's 1533-position model. The record is from RNAcentral.
AAUAUUGGACAAUGGGGGCAACCCUGAUCCAGCCAUGACGCGUGUGUGAAGAAGGUAUUCGGAUUGUAACGCACUUUAAGCUGGGAGGAAGGGCUUUAGGUUAAUACUCUGACGUUUUUAGGUUACCAACAGAUAACGCACCGGCUAAAUCCGUCCCUGCAGCCGAGGUAAUACAGAGGGUGCAAUCGUUAAUCGGAAUUACUGGGCGUAAAGCGCGCGUAGGUGGUUCAGUAAGAUGGGUGUGAAAUCCCCGGGCUUAACCUGGGAACUGCUUUCAUAACUGCUGAGCUAGAGUACGGUAGAGGGUAGUGGAAUUUCCUGUGUAGCGGUGAAAUGCGUAGGUAUAGGAAGGAACACCAGUGGCGAAGGCGACUACCUGGACUGAUACUGACACUGAGGUGCGAAAGCGUGGGGAGCAAAC